This is a long non-coding RNA of Strongylocentrotus purpuratus (purple sea urchin), 845 nucleotides long. RefSeq lists it as uncharacterized. The transcript is spliced from 2 exons. The record is from RefSeq and is a predicted model, not a curated record. Lineage: Eukaryota; Metazoa; Echinodermata; Echinoidea; Camarodonta; Strongylocentrotidae.
UGACGGUCAGCGUAAAAUCUAACUUGUUCAUUUUUAUAAAACUGACUUGAAACACCAAAAUAUAUAUGUGGGACUGAUUUUUCGAUCUUUUCAUAUAUUUUUGUCUAUUUCACUUGUUAAAUUGCUGAGUUAUACUGUCAGGCUGACUUACCAUUAUUCUAAAUGUCUGUACUCUCGGAAUAAGGCUCUUACUUUAUUUUGAUCAAUAUAUUUCUCUUUGUAUAAAGGUUACAAAUUAUUUGAUGUAAUCGCACUUACUUUGAAAUAGUUAUUGCGAAGAUUUAUGAAUAUUCAUGUGCGUACAUAUUCGCGUGGUUUAAGCAUACGCGCAUAGCGCAUGGUAGUGCGCUGAUAUGUGAUAGCCGAGUUUGAUCGAUGUGGCUAGGCUGUACACUUUGGCAUUAGAUGCGCUGUGAAACUGACCUGUCUGUGAACCUUGUUGAACCGAGAUUUACGACUAUAGACCAUAUCUGCUGUGUGACCUAAUACAUUACUAGUAAUAUGAAUUUCUGGAGGACGAGGCUGAGGGCCUCAGUAUUAGUCUGUCACCUGUACCUAGUAGUUUAAGAAUAUAUCUAUCUACAUGUAAAGCAGUUGUAACUUAUAUAUAUUGAACAUUUGUAUAUUUAAUAAUUGUAUUCUAUAUAGUUGUACUUUAAAUAUAUUCGUCAUAUUUAUGAACAAAGUAAAUACGAUCUGAUGCUAUUACUUGCAUAAGAUUUAGUCACUUGUAAAUAGAUUCACAAUUCAACAAUUAAUGAUGUACAAAUUAAUAUAAGUAGCUUAUGUAUUUAUGGAGCUGUAACUUACAUGUAUAUUUUAUCUUAGUAACACUUAUUGAUAAU